Molecule: transfer RNA, 65 nt
Filed under: Clinostomum complanatum
Lineage: Eukaryota; Metazoa; Platyhelminthes; Trematoda; Strigeidida; Clinostomidae
Description: tRNA-Val
Rfam family: tRNA
About the family: Transfer RNA (tRNA) molecules are approximately 80 nucleotides in length. Their secondary structure includes four short double-helical elements and three loops (D, anti-codon, and T loops). Further hydrogen bonds mediate the characteristic L-shaped molecular structure. tRNAs have two regions of fundamental functional importance: the anti-codon, which is responsible for specific mRNA codon recognition, and the 3' end, to which the tRNAs corresponding amino acid is attached (by aminoacyl-tRNA synthetases). tRNAs cope with the degeneracy of the genetic code in two manners: having more than one tRNA (with a specific anti-codon) for a particular amino acid; and 'wobble' base-pairing, i.e. permitting non-standard base-pairing at the 3rd anti-codon position.
Source: RNAcentral
AACGAGAUAGUUUAAGUAAAAACGUUUAUUUUACACGUAAGAGUUGAGAUGAUUCUCUAUCGUUA